RNAcentral lists this ribosomal RNA (640 nucleotides) under Genea gardneri. RNAcentral describes it as "eukaryotic LSU rRNA". The stretch from base 187 to 340 matches the Rfam family "5.8S ribosomal RNA". Lineage: Eukaryota; Fungi; Ascomycota; Pezizomycetes; Pezizales; Pyronemataceae. The record is from RNAcentral.
AGGAUCAUUAUCAUGUAACUCAGUCAUGCACGCUGCGUGAGCUGUUAGCUAUACACACCCACCCUGCGUACGUCCUCCUGUUGCUUCCCGUCCGGUGCCUGCGCCCGGGCGGGAGGGGCAAAACAACCUCCAAAUUUUUCUUACUGCCGAAUCUGUCUGAACGAAUUGAACGAAUGAAAAAGUUAAAACUUUCAGCAACGGAUCUCUUGGUUCUCGCAUCGAUGAAGAACGCAGCGAAAUGCGAUAAGUAGUGUGAAUUGCAGAAUUCAGUGAAUCAUCGAAUCUUUGAACGCACAUUGCGCCUUCUGGUAUUCCGGGAGGCAUGCCUGUUCGAGAGUCAUUGACAACCAUCCCAAAUCCCCCCCUUUUCCCUCCUUGAGGGUUUCGGGUGCGAUCUCGGGUUCUGGUGGAUGAGGUAUGCGUUGCCCCGGCAGAUCUCUCCUCUCCUCCCAAAUUCAUGGGCGGUCGCCGGCUUUUAUAGAGAGGAAAACCCCAGCAACGCCUGCUGCGUUUUAAUGUAUUUCGCCCUUGCUGCGUUGCGGGACCUUUCGGGGCCACGGACGACCAGCCUACCCAGUGAAAUAAGAAUAAUCCCCAGUUGUUUUUAUGUAACCUAAAUCUCAAAGGUUGACCUCGGAUC